RNAcentral lists this ribosomal RNA (402 nucleotides) under bacterium. Its description in RNAcentral is "partial 16S ribosomal RNA". It matches the Rfam family "Bacterial small subunit ribosomal RNA", at positions 355 to 776 of the family's 1533-position model. The record is from RNAcentral.
UGGGGAAUUUUGCACAAUGGGGGAAACCCUGAUGCAGCGACGCCGCGUGAUUUAGAAGGCCUUCGGGUUGUAAAAAUCUUUUUUACGGGAUGAAAAUGACAGUACCGUAAGAAUAAGGUCCGGCUAAAUACGUGCCAGCAGCCGCGGUAAUACGUAUGGACCGAGCGUUGUCCGGAAUCAUUGGGCGUAAAGGGUACGUAGGCGGCCUAGUAAGUUAGAAGUGAAAUAAUAUAGCUCAACUAUAUAAAGCUUUUAAAACUGCUAGGCUUGAGCGAUGGAAGGGAAAGUGGAAUUCCUAGUGUAGCGGUGAAAUGCGCAGAUAUUAGGAAGAAUACCGGUGGCGAAGGCGACUUUCUGGUCAUCAUCUGACGCUGAGGUACGAAAGCGUGGGUAGCAAACAGG